Long non-coding RNA from Sinocyclocheilus rhinocerous, 357 nucleotides. RefSeq lists it as uncharacterized. The record is from RefSeq and is a predicted model, not a curated record. The transcript is spliced from 5 exons. Lineage: Eukaryota; Metazoa; Chordata; Actinopteri; Cypriniformes; Cyprinidae.
UCAGAGUCGUGUGCCUUUGGGAUUGGGGCAGGAAGCUGCUGUCCCUAUCUCCUGGACAGAGAUAUUUUCUGGGAAGACAGUGACCCAUGAGGACAUCUGCUAUGAGCAGGCCUGCAUCCUUUAUAAUUUGGGAGCACUCCAUUCAAUGUUGGGAGCCAUGGACAACAGGGUGUCCGAAGAGGGAAUGAAAGUAUCUUGCACACACUUCCAGUGCUCGGCUGGAGCGUUCACCUACCUGAGAGAUCACUUCAGCCACAACUUCAGUGUGGACAUGAGUCACCAGAUCCUCAAUCUCAACAUCAACCUCAUGCUGGGUCAGGCCCAAGAGUGCCUGUUGGAAAAAUCUAUGUUGGACAA